UCCUUUUUGUUUUUUUUUUUUUUUUUAACGUUUGUGCAAGACAAGAAGCUGAGGACGUGGAGAGUCAGUCACAGAGCUAAAGCUGGGAAAAAUUGUACUCUUUUUCUUAUUUAGUUGUUUGGAUAUAUGAAACUGAAAACAUGAACAGAGUUUGCAAUAAGCAAUGAAGAGACAAAAAAGAACUUACAUCUCAUCUUUUGUUUUUCAAAGUCAACAAAAAGAAUCAAGUUCCAAUUUUUAAGGCUUCUCUAUACACUAAUAAUAGAAUACAG
This 272-nucleotide long non-coding RNA is filed under the name Brassica napus (rape). Its description in RNAcentral is "long non-coding RNA (BNAP_LNC000796)". The record is from RNAcentral. Lineage: Eukaryota; Viridiplantae; Streptophyta; Magnoliopsida; Brassicales; Brassicaceae.